ACAGGAAGAAAGUGGUGGAGUCAGAGGUCACAAUCCAAAGCAAGGUGACAGUCUCUUGAAGAAGACACCCUGAGUGCUGAAUUAAGGGGCUAAAUAACAGUGCUAUAGUGGUUUCAUAAUCAUAAAGCAUUCCAGGAACACAAUAUUGCUUAUCAACUGAGCUUUAAAACAGAUAUGAGGCAGGACGUGGUGGCUCACACCUGCACUCCCAGCAAUUUGGCAAGCCAAGCUUUGAUGGCUCUGGCAGAAAGCCUUCCUGUUCCAAACUCACCACUUAUCAUCAUAGUACCCGCGUUCAGGCAUUAAGAAGAAAAGAGCAUCCAAUCCCUCUGCUUUCCUGCAUCGGCUCCCAUGCACAAGCAAAUGUGUUGUGUUAGUGGCUAUCAAAUAUUCAUGUAUUUGAUCAAGGAAAUUUGUAUUUCCAAAUGGUAAAACAAAAAUACUACUA
This is a long non-coding RNA of Homo sapiens (human), 448 nucleotides long. The record is from Ensembl. Lineage: Eukaryota; Metazoa; Chordata; Mammalia; Primates; Hominidae.